Molecule: long non-coding RNA, 240 nt
Filed under: Brassica rapa (field mustard)
Lineage: Eukaryota; Viridiplantae; Streptophyta; Magnoliopsida; Brassicales; Brassicaceae
Description: long non-coding RNA (BRAP_LNC007690)
Source: RNAcentral
UACUAGUUGUUCGUUUGAUUGAGGGUUGGAAUGAAUGGAAUAAAUUUGAUGAUUUUGGUGUUUGGAUUUGGUUCAAAUUGUUGCAACGAAAGGAUUUGCAUCUUUUACUUAUGCAAUUUGAUGUUCAUGGGAGGGAAACAAAGGUGCUGGAAAAUAUGUGGUUUGUUGGUUUUCGUAUGUGGCUCGGGAUAGAGCAGAAAGCUUUGGCUGUAUGGAAUCGAGGUCUGCGGCUGGUCUCUU